UACGGAGGGGGUUAGCGUUGUUUGGAAUUACUGGGCGUAAAGCGCGCGUAGGCGGAUUAGAAAGUUGGGGGUGAAAUCCCGGGGCUCAACCCCGGAACUGCCUCCAAAACUAUUAGUCUAGAGUUCGAGAGAGGUGAGUGGAAUUCCGAGUGUAGAGGUGAAAUUCGUAGAUAUUCGGAGGAACACCAGUGGCGAAGGCGGCUCACUGGCUCGAUACUGACGCUGAGGUGCGAAAGUGUGGGGAGCAAACAGG
RNAcentral lists this ribosomal RNA (253 nucleotides) under uncultured bacterium. RNAcentral's name for it is "partial 16S ribosomal RNA". It matches the Rfam family "Bacterial small subunit ribosomal RNA", at positions 524 to 776 of the family's 1533-position model. The record is from RNAcentral.